Molecule: ribosomal RNA, 253 nt
Filed under: uncultured bacterium
Lineage: Bacteria
Description: partial 16S ribosomal RNA
Rfam family: Bacterial small subunit ribosomal RNA
Source: RNAcentral
UACGUAGGGAGCGAGCGUUGUCCGGAAUCAUUGGGCGUAAAGAGCAUGUAGGUGGAUCAACCAGUCUGCUGUGAAAGUCGAAGGCUCAACCUUCGAAAGCCGGUGGAUACUGUUGAUCUAGAGUACGGAAGAGGCGGGUGGAAUUCCUGGUGUAGCGGUGGAAUGCGCAGAUAUCAGGAGGAACACCAAUAGCGAAGGCAGCUCGCUGGGACGUAACUGACACUGAGAUGCGAAAGCGUGGGGAGCAAACAGG